RNAcentral lists this transfer RNA (75 nucleotides) under Mesorhizobium sp. RNAcentral's name for it is "tRNA-Asn". It matches the Rfam family "tRNA". From Rfam's summary of the family: Transfer RNA (tRNA) molecules are approximately 80 nucleotides in length. Lineage: Bacteria; Pseudomonadati; Pseudomonadota; Alphaproteobacteria; Hyphomicrobiales; Phyllobacteriaceae. The record is from RNAcentral.
UCCCCGAGAGCUCACCGGUAGAGAUCUCGACUGUUCAUCGAGCGGCCGUUGAUUCGAAUCCAACUCGGGGAGCCA